Vespa mandarinia (Asian giant hornet) is the source of this 972-nucleotide long non-coding RNA. NCBI's taxonomy places the organism in Eukaryota, Metazoa, Arthropoda, Insecta, Hymenoptera, Vespidae. The record is from RefSeq and is a predicted model, not a curated record.
CUACAGUAUAUGCAAUCUCAAAUGUUUUAAUUACGUAUCGAAGACGUCAAACGUUACAAAUACAUAUCAUCUUUUUAUCUCUAAGAAAUCUUGCAAGAGUAACAAAAAAUAUUCCAUCCGUCGUAGUACUGUCAAUUUAGAUCAACAUACACAGCCAUUUUGCCGAUCAGAAUGUAUAGCCAUUCGAGAGACAAGGACUUCUUUAUUUUUAAAAUUCACUUAUAUUUCGUGAUUCUGUGAAUUUUAUCAGUGUAUUUUAUCGUUCAAAAAGAAAAAAACUUUAAGGUGGAUUUCUCGAUACGUGUACAGCUUGUUUGAUAGCAACAGUGUUUGCUCGACGAUAUUCUUGUGGAACUGUUGCAUGUAACGUCUAACCUGACUUUUAUUUUCAAAAGACAUUUCGAAUUGAAGUCUUUUUUACUAGGAAUGUAAACAAAUACGGAGAUACAUUAGUUUUUAUUUGCAAUUUACAUUUAUGUUUUCGAUAAACUUAUUACGAUUUGUGAAGUAGUAAAAGUGGUACCGUAAUUUUCUACGUUUAUAGUUUUCGUAAGUUUAUUGAUUAAAACGUAAUGCAAUUUAAUCGAGGAUUUUUUUUUACUUUUUGUUUUUAAAAAAAAUAUGUGCUUUUUAUGUAUAAUCAUGAGUGAAUUGUGAUUAAAAAAGUCGAUAACCUGUACAAAAUUGAUAGUGCGUUUAGUAGUGUGGUUGUAUUAGUAAAAAAAAAUUUAUUGAAACGUAGAUAUUAUAAAUAUAAUAUUUUAAAAUUUAGUGAUCUGCUACAAUUUUAAUGGUUAAGAAAUAGUACUCCAAUCGUUUUAAUGACAAAUAUAUUCUUCGAGAUAAAAGUAAUAAGAUCAAUAAGAAGCAUUUAAUAAAAAUGAUUUUGUUAUUUAAAAAGACAUUGGAAUGACUAAAAUUAAACAGAUACAAGAUCAAUGAUUGAUCUUCUUCAAAAAUUGUAUAAAUGUA